RNAcentral lists this long non-coding RNA (228 nucleotides) under Elaeis guineensis (African oil palm). Its description in RNAcentral is "long non-coding RNA (EGUI_LNC005233)". The record is from RNAcentral. Lineage: Eukaryota; Viridiplantae; Streptophyta; Magnoliopsida; Arecales; Arecaceae.
CAAUAUCUAUUGCACCCACAAAGAUGAUAUUUAUUAUAAAAUUUAAUCUCUCUGAUUUUAUGAUCUGAAAUAUAAAUAAAAAUAAUAUUUCUAGAUAAAUAUUGUUGCUACGUCUCUUCGACUGAAUGAUGUGGUGGAGUAGCUAGACCAGUUAGCACAAAACAAACACUACGCUGGGGUAGGCAAGCGACGAGUCGGAACUCUGGUCAUCUGCAAAGAAAGUCUGCA